GCCUGGCUGGCUCAGUCAGUAGAGCAUGAGACUCUUGAUUUCAGAGUUGUGAGUUCAAGCCUUGCAUCAGGUG
RNAcentral lists this transfer RNA (73 nucleotides) under Mustela putorius furo (domestic ferret). It matches the Rfam family "tRNA". From Rfam's summary of the family: Transfer RNA (tRNA) molecules are approximately 80 nucleotides in length. Their secondary structure includes four short double-helical elements and three loops (D, anti-codon, and T loops). RNAcentral also lists the same sequence under 1 other name. Lineage: Eukaryota; Metazoa; Chordata; Mammalia; Carnivora; Mustelidae. The record is from Rfam by way of RNAcentral.